Molecule: long non-coding RNA, 956 nt
Filed under: Homo sapiens (human)
Lineage: Eukaryota; Metazoa; Chordata; Mammalia; Primates; Hominidae
Description: novel transcript
Source: RNAcentral
CCCGGGGCGUGACCGGCCUCACGUGACCUGAUGUCACGUGACAGAACCCGCACGUGAUCCGACCUGCGAUGCUGAGGGGAGGAAGCUGCGGAAGUGGACUGGGACUGGAGUUUGGGGUUCUACCCUAGGUUGGGGCGGAGGAAGCUGGAGGAUAGGGGCUGACGCCAGGAACGCUGCAGAGGCGGGUUGGGCGGGGGGCGCUGCCGCCCAAGGCCCGAGGCAGCGGCGCGGGAUCGGCCAAAGCACCGGCCGCCAGUUCGGCGGGUCUGGAGAGAGGGGACCUCAAGCAGCCAGUGGAGCAACCAGCCUGGGAGCCUUCGACGUAGGCGCUGUGGGCGAAGGAAAAGGCCUGGCCUGCUGCCUCUUCUCUUGCAGCAAAAUCCGCUGCUGUGAAGGAGCUGGUAGGCGGACGCUCUGUAGAUAAGAGAAUCCCUGAUCUGCCUGGGCAUCAUCUUGCUCUUUAUGACCUGCUUGGCUGCCACUGUGUAGGGCCUGCUUAAAGUCCUUUGCACUCUCAGCAUUCCCCUCAAGUUCAAGGACAAGCUUCUCAUUAUGGCAGGCAUAAAACUCUUUAUAAUUCGUCCUCCACUCUCCCAGCUCAGGGCUCCAGCUGUUGUCUCACACUUCCUUGAAGUUCCCUCUGCUGAGUCGCCCUUGUGCCUGACCAACUUACUUACUAAAAUAAAAAUCCCAAUUUCUUUCCAGUCAUGUGUGCCCAAGGGCGAGUUAUUUAACUUUUCUGAGCUUUCCUCAGUAAAACGAAGCUACAUAUCUUGCAAGGAUGUGAUAUUAAAGUUAUGAUAUUGUAAAACAGGUGCCACGGUGCUUGGCCUAGGGUGAGCCUUCAACCUAGAACAUACCACUGUCCCCAUGCACCUUGCUCACACACCCAAUCCCAGACUUUUCUUUUGUAGUCACCUCAGUUAUCACCUCAUUAAAUAACCUGAUUACCCCAA